This is an RNA transcript of Passer domesticus (house sparrow), 2935 nucleotides long. RefSeq lists it as uncharacterized. The record is from RefSeq and is a predicted model, not a curated record. Lineage: Eukaryota; Metazoa; Chordata; Aves; Passeriformes; Passeridae. The transcript has 2 exons.
GGUGAGGUGUUCGCUGCCUCUUGCCCGAGGGAGAGCCCCGCGCCCGCCGCCCUCCGUGAGCGCAGCCGCUUAAACAGCGCGCGGGCAGUGAAAUGGCUCCCAAAAACUGGGUUCGUGGGAUUCGACGGAAAACACUACCGAGAGGCCGCUCCGGGGGGAUUCCUUGGGCGAGAGAGGGAAAGGCUGACGGCGGGCCGAGCGGGGUAUGAGAUGACAUAAAGGCAGUCAGUGAGGGGGCUUUCAUCCCAGGAAAUUUCACUGGGUCUCAUUUUUGAAGCUGCUGGGCAGCGAGUGGUUUCUGCGCCAAGCUCUGAGCACCCGGAGGGCUCCUCACAUCAGGGGACCCAACCAGAGCCACGAUGGCUCGCAAAUUUGCAUCCUCAGCUCGCCUCGCAGGAAAAAGAAGAGCCCUAUGAGGUGCUAAGAAAUCACUUUGCUAGGUAGUUGGCUGGUGGAUGGAUGGAUGGAUGGAUGGAUGGAUGGAUGGAUGGAUGGAUGGAUGGAUGGAUGGAUGGAUGGAUAUACUGAUGGAUAAAGCAGCCUGUUGUGUCAAUGCUACUUCCUUCUGUUCUCUUUCUUUCUUCCUCUUCCCCGGGAAAUAUAUGGAGGCUCCCUUUGGACAUCUCAGGGUGCGCUGAUACCUGCUCACUGCUGCAUUAGAAAAAGUGCCCAAAGUCCCCAUGGGUGACACCCCCUCCCAGCUGUUGGCCAAGACAGGACAAAAUUAAUGCAAGCAACUGCAAGUCUUCAAAAUUUACAAGAGAAUGUAAAAAAAUGUCUGGUUUGUUUCAUUUUUGUUCCUUGCUUUCUUGAUUUGCACCUGAAACUUGAAUUUUGGGGGCUUUUUUCAACAACACUCAGGGUACUGGUUUAUUUUUCUUUUUGUUAAAAAACUGAAUUGUACUGGGUUAUUCAAGUGGGAGAAGCUUCAUGAUCAGCUACUGGCUGCCAGCAACACUAACCAACCUCCUUUGUAUUCUCUCAGUUAAAAGCUGGCUGACCGGGCACUUCGGCUCAGGCAUGACCUACUUAAUGGAGGAUUCACAAGAGAAUUGCUAGUUCUGGAUGACAUGAACAUAAAUAGCAUUUGCAGGAACAAUGGUGAGGAAGAGAUGGUGAGGCCAUGUACUUCAGCAACCAUGAGCCAGCACAUUGGGAAACUCUAUAGAUCUGCAGUCUCUUCAUUCAUCUUCUUCUUGGUGGUGGGUGAGUACUAAACCACCUUCCUUAAUUAGAAGAAAUACAGGUUGUUCUUGGAAGCUUGGCUUGAGAAGUUCUCUUUAUUUUCAAAGUAUGACUUUCAACUGAGGACUUCCUCAGGGUGCAGGGAAAUUGUAUUUAGUGUUGUGCAUUGUAUUAAAACAUACUUUUCUCUUUAGAUACAUUCCUGUUUAUCUAAUAUAAAUGUUCUGAAAGAGCGUAUUUGCCUAUCUUUUCCCAGAUGUGUCUCAUCAUUCCUAGAAGCUUCAUUUCUAUUUUGUUUCUCUGAUAUAUUAGCCACCGGUUACUGUCACAAGGUAGUUAUUCAUAUCCAUUUGUGAGAGCCAACCUCAGCCCAGGGCAAAAGUCAUAUAAAUUAAAAGCAGCAAUGUGCAGUCAUUGAACACUUAAUCAGAGAUGUCUGGGACCUGGAUACAGCUUGUAAAGCACCUUCAUAGCACCAGCAUGGUAUGAGUGUGAAGCUGAGAUCUAAAGCAAACAAAACCAUCUGAAAGACAGUUAUUUCAUCAGGAGAGGGUUUGUUUUUUUUUUUUGUGGUUUGGAAAUUGAGCCCUAUUUGCCUAAACUGGAAGGGUAAAAUUCUGCACUGACCUCCACACACUGUUUUGGUUCCCCCAUGCUGUUGGCAGCUGGCAGAAGAAGCUUGCAGGGCUGCUCAGAUUUACCACAGGCACCAAAGACUUAAGUGAGGCUCCAGGACAGGAAGAGAGUGCAGCUGUAUUUUAUUCUUUCCUUUUGUCACCCCAGCUCCUCUAGCCUGCCUUGCAUAUUUCUCACUUACAGGUCUGAUAUGGCCUUAUAUGGGGAAGUAUCAACCUGCAGAUUACAUAAAGGGAAGGCUGAGGGCUUUAGUAGGUGCCUUAUUAGUACUGCCAAAUGUGGAGCACAUUGCCACAUUGCAGGGAGUCCCUGAGAGCUUUCUCCCCUCAUGGCUGAAAACUGGAUGUGAACUAAGGAUUUCAUAUGGCAAUGACCUGUUAGAUCAUCUAAUCGUUUGUCCAGGUCUAGACAAGAUCAUCCAUGCUGUAUUUCUCUGUACCCUGUCUAGCUCAAGUGCUUUCACCACAAAGCCUUGCAUUCCUCUCCAUGGGCUUGAGCCCCCAGCCGGCAUGACAAGGGAACUACGCAUCACUCUGCUAAUGAAGCAAUUGACUUUAAAAGACCUUUGAAGCAGAGUCAGCAAAGCAUUUGGCAUGGUAUACUCCCAGAUGCCAAAACGAUAAGGGCAUUGUGUAAUUGAAUAUCUCUGAACUAAUAUGUUCCAGUUUUGCAACCUUGAAAAAGAAAAAGAAAGAAAAGAAAGGGAGAAAAAUAGAGGCAGUGCUGUGACCUUCUCAGUGAAACCCCCCAAAGAGAGCUGGGACAAAACAAGACAGCCUACUUCUCUCCUGUUUUAAUUUUCCUAAUUAAGUUACAUUAUUUGUAUUGAAUAAAGGAUGUGGAAAUAAAACAGAUGACAAGGCCAGUUAUUUCAUGACAGGAGAUGUGUAUAAAACAAUGAACAGAGGCAACACCAAAGCACGUUGUUUCUACUCAGUUACAUUCUCUAUGCCACUGUCUGUGUAAAAAGUAUAUCUUUUGCAUCACUAAAAGAAGUAAAAAUUACAGUUGUGUUACAGAGGUGCAUAUGGAAAGGCUGGAAUACUUGUAGCAAAGGAGACAUUUUGUGGCCAUUCUUUGAAAACAAGGUAGCAGUAGCAUACACUAGCUAAAG